CUACGGGAUGCAGCAGUGAGGAAUAUUGCACAAUGUGGGGAACCCUGAUGCAGCAACGCCGCGUGGAGGAUGACGCAUUUCGGUGUGUAAACUCCUUUUAUAUGUCAAGAAAAUGACGGUAGCAUAUGAAUAAGCACCGGCUAACUCCGUGCCAGCAGCCGCGGUAAUACGGAGGGUGCAAGCGUUACUCGGAAUCACUGGGCGUAAAGGACGCGUAGGCGGGUUGGAAAGUCAGGUGUGAAAUCCUACAGCUUAACUGUAGAACUGCACUUGAAACUUCUAAUCUAGAGUAUGGGAGGGGGAGAUGGAAUUAGUGGUGUAGGGGUAAAAUCCGUAGAUAUCACUAGGAAUACCUAAAGCGAAGGCGAUCUCCUGGAACAUUACUGACGCUAAGGCGUGAAAGCGUGGGGAGCAAACAGGAUUAGAUACCCUUGUAGUC
This 439-nucleotide ribosomal RNA is filed under the name uncultured bacterium. RNAcentral describes it as "partial 16S ribosomal RNA". It matches the Rfam family "Bacterial small subunit ribosomal RNA", at positions 339 to 795 of the family's 1533-position model. The record is from RNAcentral.